UGUUGGAGCGGGCUUGCCCGCGAAAGCGGUGGAUCUUCAACAUUGAUGUGCACUGACACUCCGCCAUCGCGGGCAAGCCCGCUCCCACA
This 89-nucleotide unclassified non-coding RNA is filed under the name Pseudomonas arsenicoxydans. The record is from RNAcentral. Lineage: Bacteria; Pseudomonadati; Pseudomonadota; Gammaproteobacteria; Pseudomonadales; Pseudomonadaceae.